CAGUCGCCGCGGUAAUACAGAGGGUGCGAGCGUUAAUCGGAUUUACUGGGCGUAAAGCGUGCGUAGGCGGCUUCUUAAGUCGGAUGUGAAAUCCCUGAGCUUAACUUAGGAAUUGCAUUCGAUACUGGGAAGCUAGAGUAUGGGAGAGGAUCGUAGAAUUCCAGGUGUAGCGGUGAAAUGCGUAGAGAUCUGGAGGAAUACCGAUGGCGAAGGCAGCCAUCUGGCCUAAUACUGACGCUGAGGUACGAAAGCAUGGGGAGCAAACAGGAUUAGAUACCCGCGUAGUCCCUGUCUCUUAUAC
Molecule: ribosomal RNA, 301 nt
Filed under: uncultured bacterium
Lineage: Bacteria
Description: partial 16S ribosomal RNA
Rfam family: Bacterial small subunit ribosomal RNA
Source: RNAcentral